UAGCUAACGCUUGUGAGAUGAGCUUGCGUAGGAUUAUGUAGUUGGUAGGGUAUAAAGCCUCCCGGCCGAUAAUCCUUACCUCGAUCUGAGAGGAUGAUCAUCCACAUUGAGACUGACACACCGCCCAAACGCUUUCAAGCGGCACCAACGCGGAAUAUUGGACAAUGGGCGAAAGCCUGAUCCAUCUAUAUCGCGUGGGUGAUGAAGACUGUGUUGGUUGAAAAACCCUUGACUCUUUGAAAGAUUAUGACACCCAAAGAGCAAAAAGUCCCGGCCAAUCUCGUGCCAGCAGCCGCGGUAAUACGAGAGGGGCGAGCGUUAUUCGGAAUGAUUGGGCGUAAAGCGCACGUAUGCGGUUUAGAAAAUCCCAAAUC
RNAcentral lists this ribosomal RNA (374 nucleotides) under Phormidium sp. NR12(2012). RNAcentral's name for it is "bacterial SSU rRNA". It matches the Rfam family "Bacterial small subunit ribosomal RNA", at positions 208 to 596 of the family's 1533-position model. Lineage: Bacteria; Bacillati; Cyanobacteriota; Cyanophyceae; Oscillatoriales; Oscillatoriaceae. The record is from RNAcentral.